Molecule: non-coding RNA, 73 nt
Organism: Trichonephila clavipes
Lineage: Eukaryota; Metazoa; Arthropoda; Arachnida; Araneae; Nephilidae
Source: the annotation of a GenBank genome assembly
GUCCCUGUAACGCAAUGGAUAGCGUGUUGAACUUAUAAUCUCAAAGUCGUGGUUUCGAAUCCCACCUAGGAUG